UUCAAUUUUAUUUAUUUUUUGUUUUUAUGUAUUUAUAUAUGUCUUCAUUGUUUUUUAUAUUUUUAAAUGUAAUACAUAUGUAUAAUAAUAUUUUAUGGUUAUAAGAAAAUCAAGCUAAAGAAAUCAUCUUCGUUCUUUUACUUUGGAUGUUUGUUUCUUUCUCACAUAUUCAUGUAUAUUUAAUUUAUUUUCAAAAGUAUGUAAUUUUUUAACAAAAUAAACUUUUUGUUAUAUAAUUAUCAAACCAAUUUGUAAGACAUUCUUUUAAGA
This 270-nucleotide long non-coding RNA is filed under the name Capsella rubella. RNAcentral describes it as "long non-coding RNA (CRUB_LNC002104)". The record is from RNAcentral. Lineage: Eukaryota; Viridiplantae; Streptophyta; Magnoliopsida; Brassicales; Brassicaceae.